This 1191-nucleotide ribosomal RNA is filed under the name Vibrio parahaemolyticus. RNAcentral describes it as "partial 23S ribosomal RNA". It matches the Rfam family "Bacterial large subunit ribosomal RNA", at positions 656 to 1833 of the family's 2925-position model. Lineage: Bacteria; Pseudomonadati; Pseudomonadota; Gammaproteobacteria; Vibrionales; Vibrionaceae. The record is from RNAcentral.
UCUAGGGGAGCCGUAGGGAAACCGAGUCUUAACUGGGCGUUCAGUCUCUGGAUAUAGACCCGAAACCAGGUGAUCUAGCCAUGGGCAGGUUGAAGGUUGAGUAACAUCAACUGGAGGACCGAACCGACUAAUGUUGAAAAAUUAGCGGAUGACUUGUGGCUAGGGGUGAAAGGCCAAUCAAACCUGGAGAUAGCUGGUUCUCCCCGAAAGCUAUUUAGGUAGCGCCUCGGACGAAUACUACUGGGGGUAGAGCACUGUUAAGGCUAGGGGGUCAUCCCGACUUACCAACCCUUUGCAAACUCCGAAUACCAGUAAGUACUAUCCGGGAGACACACGGCGGGUGCUAACGUCCGUCGUGGAGAGGGAAACAACCCAGACCGCCAGCUAAGGUCCCAAAUUACUACUAAGUGGGAAACGAUGUGGGAAGGCUCAGACAGCCAGGAUGUUGGCUUAGAAGCAGCCAUCAUUUAAAGAAAGCGUAAUAGCUCACUGGUCGAGUCGGCCUGCGCGGAAGAUGUAACGGGGCUAAGUAGUAAACCGAAGCUGCGGCAAUAUACUUUUGUAUAUUGGGUAGGGGAGCGUUCUGUAAGCGGUUGAAGGUGUGUGGUAACGCAUGCUGGACGUAUCAGAAGUGCGAAUGCUGACAUGAGUAACGAUAAAGGGGGUGAAAAACCUCCUCGCCGGAAGACCAAGGGUUCCUGUCCAACGUUAAUCGGGGCAGGGUAAGUCGACCCCUAAGGCGAGGCCGAAAGGCGUAGUCGAUGGGAAACGGGUUAAUAUUCCCGUACUUCUUACAAUUGCGAUGGGGGGACGGAGAAGGCUAGGUGGGCCUGGCGACGGUUGUCCAGGUUCAAGUGCGUAGGCUUAAGAGUUAGGUAAAUCCGGCUCUUUUUAAGGCUGAGACACGACGUCGAGCACCUACGGGUGUGAAGUCAUUGAUGCCAUGCUUCCAGGAAAAGCCUCUAAGCUUCAGAUUGUAAGGAAUCGUACCCCAAACCGACACAGGUGGUCGGGUAGAGAAUACCAAGGCGCUUGAGAGAACUCGGGUGAAGGAACUAGGCAAAAUGGUACCGUAACUUCGGGAGAAGGUACGCUCUUGAUGGUGAAGUCCCUUGCGGAUGGAGCUGACGAGAGUCGCAGAUACCAGGUGGCUGCAACUGUUUAUUAAAAACACAGCACUGUGCAAAAUCG